RNAcentral lists this transfer RNA (74 nucleotides) under Tringa guttifer (Nordmann's greenshank). Its description in RNAcentral is "tRNA-Val". The record is from RNAcentral. Lineage: Eukaryota; Metazoa; Chordata; Aves; Charadriiformes; Scolopacidae.
UCAAGACGUAGCUAAAACCAAAAGCAUUCAGCUUACACCUGAAAGAUAUCUGUCACCCAUCAGGUCGUCUUGAA